GGGUCGUUAGCUCAGUUGGUAGAGCAGUUGACUUUUAAUCAAUUGGUCGCAGGUUCGAAUGGUAGAGCAGUUGACUUUUAAUCAAUUGGUCGCAGGUUCGAAUCCUGCACGACCCACCA
This 119-nucleotide transfer RNA is filed under the name Klebsiella sp. RNAcentral's name for it is "tRNA-Lys". It matches the Rfam family "tRNA". From Rfam's summary of the family: Transfer RNA (tRNA) molecules are approximately 80 nucleotides in length. Their secondary structure includes four short double-helical elements and three loops (D, anti-codon, and T loops). Lineage: Bacteria; Pseudomonadati; Pseudomonadota; Gammaproteobacteria; Enterobacterales; Enterobacteriaceae. The record is from RNAcentral.